RNAcentral lists this transfer RNA (44 nucleotides) under Rhoicissus tomentosa. Its description in RNAcentral is "partial tRNA-His". RNAcentral also lists the same sequence under 18 other names. Lineage: Eukaryota; Viridiplantae; Streptophyta; Magnoliopsida; Vitales; Vitaceae. The record is from RNAcentral.
GGCGGAUGUAGCCAAGUGGAUCAAGGCAGUGGAUUNGUGAAUCC